GACGAACGCUGGCGGCGUGCCUAAUACAUGCAAGUAGAACGCUGAAGGAGGAGCUUGCUUCUCCGGAUGAGUUGCGAACGGGUGAGUAGCGCGUAGGUAACCUGCCUGGUAGCGGGGGAUAACUAUUGGAAACGAUAGCUAAUACCGCAUAACAGUAGAUGUUGCAUGACAUUUGCUUAAAAGGUGCAAUUGCAUCACUACCAGAUGGACCUGCGUUGUAUUAGCUAGUUGGUGAGGUAACGGCUCACCAAGGCGACGAUACAUAGCCGACCUGAGAGGGUGAUCGGCCACACUGGGACUGAGACACGGCCCAGACUCCUACGGGAGGCAGCAGUAGGGAAUCUUCGGCAAUGGACGGAAGUCUGACCGAGCAACGCCGCGUGAGUGAAGAAGGUUUUCGGAUCGUAAAGCUCUGUUGUAAGAGAAGAACGAGUGUGAGAGUGGAAAGUUCACACUGUGACGGUAGCUUACCAGAAAGGGACGGCUAACUACGUG
This 495-nucleotide ribosomal RNA is filed under the name uncultured bacterium. RNAcentral's name for it is "partial 16S ribosomal RNA". It matches the Rfam family "Bacterial small subunit ribosomal RNA", at positions 28 to 507 of the family's 1533-position model. The record is from RNAcentral.